Xyrichtys novacula (pearly razorfish) is the source of this 84-nucleotide non-coding RNA. The record is from the annotation of a GenBank genome assembly. NCBI's taxonomy places the organism in Eukaryota, Metazoa, Chordata, Actinopteri, Labriformes, Labridae.
CCUCUGGUCCCUGCUGAUCCAAAACUGAAGCUUUUUGUCAGGUCACAUCAAAAGCUUCAGUUUUGGAUCAGCAGGGACCAGAGG